ACGUAGACGCUAUUCCCUAAGAUUAACCCAUGCAUGUUUUUGACAUUUGAAAAAUGGACUGCUCAGUAAUACUCACUUUAUUUUAUGUAAAUUUUUAAUUAACUACGUUAAAGUGUAGAUAAGAUGUUUACAGUAAGAGUGAGACCUAUCAGCUAGUUGUUAAGGUAAUGGCUUAACAAGGCUGUGACGGGUAACGGUAUUACUUUGUAAUAUUCCGGAGAAGGAGCCUGAGAGACGGCUACUAAGUCUAAGGAUUGCAGCAGGGGCGAAACUUGACCUAUGGAUUUUAUCUGAGGCAGUUAUCGGAAGUAAUAUUAUAUUGUUUCAUAUUUUAAAAGUAUAUGAGGUGAUUAAUUGGAGGGCAAAUCAAGUGCCAGCAGCCGCGGUAAUACUUGUUCCAAGAGUGUGUAUGAUGAUUGAUGCAGUUAAAAAGUCCGUAGUUUAUUUUUUAAGAAGCAAUAUGAGGUGUACUGUAUAGUUGGGAGAAAGAUGAAAUGUGACGACCCUGACUGGACGAACAGAAGCGAAAGCUGUACACUUGUAUGUAUUUUUUGAACAAGGACGUAAGCUGGAGGAGCGAAGAUGAUUAGAUACCAUUGUAGUUCCAGCAGUAAACCAUGCCGACGAUGUGAUAUGAAAAUAUUAAUUUGUAUUACAUAAUAGAAAUUUGAGUUUUUUGGCUCUGGGGAUAGUAUGAUCGCAAGAUUGAAAAUUAAAGAAAUUGACGGAAGAAUACCACAAGGAGUGGAUUGUGCGGCUUAAUUUGACUCAACGCGAGGUAACUUACCAAUAUUUUAUUAUUUUGAGAGAACGGUUUUUUGUUUGAGAAUGAUAAUAGUGGUGCAUGGCCGUUUUCAAUGGAUGCUGUGAAGUUUUGAUUAAUUUCAACAAGACGUGAGACCCUUAUUUUUUAUUAAAGACAGACACAAUCAGUGUAGGAAGGAAAGGAUUAAAACAGGUCCGUUAUGCCCUCUGACAUUUUGGGCUGCACGCGCAAUACAAUAGAUAUAUAAUCUUUAUGGGAUAAUAUUUUGUAAGAGAUAUUUGAACUUGGAAUUGCUAGUAAAUUUUAUUAAAUAAGUAGAAUUGAAUGUGUCCCUGUUCUU
Molecule: ribosomal RNA, 1106 nt
Filed under: Vairimorpha ceranae
Lineage: Eukaryota; Fungi; Microsporidia; Nosematidae
Description: SSU rRNA
Rfam family: Microsporidia small subunit ribosomal RNA
Source: RNAcentral